RNAcentral lists this ribosomal RNA (216 nucleotides) under uncultured bacterium. Its description in RNAcentral is "partial 16S ribosomal RNA". It matches the Rfam family "Bacterial small subunit ribosomal RNA", at positions 118 to 351 of the family's 1533-position model. The record is from RNAcentral.
UGGGAACGUGCCUUUUGGUUCGGAACAACACAGGGAAACUUGUGCUAAUACCGGAUAAGCCCUUACGGGGAAAGAUUUAUCGCCAAAAGAUCGGCCCGCGUCUGAUUAGCUAGUUGGUGGGGUAAUGGCCCACCAAGGCGACGAUCAGUAGCUGGUCUGAGAGGAUGAUCAGCCACAUUGGGACUGAGACACGGCCCAAACUCCUACGGGAGGCAG